Molecule: long non-coding RNA, 884 nt
Organism: Mizuhopecten yessoensis (Yesso scallop)
Lineage: Eukaryota; Metazoa; Mollusca; Bivalvia; Pectinida; Pectinidae
Exons: 3
Source: RefSeq, a predicted model, not a curated record
GCUAUAUCAUGCACAAAUUGUCGAUUCACGCAUAUCACACUGUUGAAAUCAUGUACUGAACAAUUAUAUCACAAACACGUUAAAACAAUCAUUUAUGAUAAUCAUAGCGCAUAAUUGAAUAAUUUGUAUCACUUGUUUGAGCAUGUUUAUUGUUUAUCACUGUUGUUUAUAAAACUGCCUAUAUAAACAUUGCCGACGGUAUCGCUGGAUUGUCUUGUCGCUGCCGAGUAUAUAUGGCGUGCGAGACGAUCAGACGGUGAUACAAGCUUUUCCGGGACACGACCCGACAGCUGUUGGAUACACCACGUCCCGGAACAACAACACCGGACACCUUUUGAUACCUGGACACCGAAUAUCAGAAGGAUAUCGACAUGCCGCUCAGGACUUUGAAUACAAAGCUGAGAAAAUUUCUGAGAUGGCUGCAAAAAGGUGUCAACAGAUUCCACGAUUUGUCCAAAGAUUCCAGAUUAGGACCCAAUGAUCGAACACGUCAAAUAUGUCACUCUACGGACGACGAGUGGUACCACGAUCCCGUGUCAAGGACAUGGUCAUGGCUAGGAUGAGACUCGACUGCGCAUAAACGGAACUGGAACUUAUUUCGUAAUUACGUGAUAAAACAACCGCAAGGGUGUGUACCUUCAACGAUUUUCAAACGUCUAGUGGGAUAUUCUGGCGCCUGUUGACAUAUCAAUCAACAGCUAUGCGUUCAGAAACAUAUACCAACACGCUAGCCAAAGAGAACGUUGCAACAAUGAAUCAAAGUGAUUGUCAUUACUCUCGAAAACGCCGUUUCAAGACGCCUAGACUAUACACUGUACGAGGAGCUUAUUGAUCAAUGAAUUAAUCAGUCUCGUAUGUUUCAUAAAUGCAGAAAAUUCGUGUUG